CCGAGUCACGCACUCAAAUAACCCUUCUGUGGAUCUGAAUCAAACCGUUGCCUCGGCGGGCGGUCCCCUGCCAAAACCCACGUGGUGUGGGCAUGGGACCAGACAGUUCGGCACGCUUAAGGCGUCCGGCGCCAGCCGCUGGCCCUAAACAAUUAAACUCUAGUAACUUUACCUUCUGAGUUUUAAUGCAAAAUAAGUCA
This 200-nucleotide unclassified non-coding RNA is filed under the name uncultured Ascomycota. Its description in RNAcentral is "sequence contains ITS1". The record is from RNAcentral. Lineage: Eukaryota; Fungi; Ascomycota.